GGCCUGGCCACCUCUGUUGACAUGGGUAGAUCAUCAUCAUAACAGCUCCCAGUGAAUCAAUGCCUCCCUGCAUCCACACCCCUUUGUAACAUGAUAUUGUUGCUCUUCCCAUCAAGAAAUGGUCUCUUUUGGCCGGGCACAGUAGCUCACGUCAUCCCAGCACUUUGGGAGGCUGAGGCAGGCAGAUGGCUUGAGGUGAAUAUACAGUAAAUUCUGCAUGUAAUUUUUAUCUCCUUCCAUCAAGUGUAACAAUAUGUUGAAUUUGCCAUGGGCCUUUAAAGCUUCAAUGUUGUGAAGAGCUCUGCAUGAAAUUUUAAAGAGACUGGACCUUUCAUCUGCACAACAGCAGGGCACCUCGCUAUAGGGACAAGAAAGGAAGAGAGAGAGAGAACAUUUCUGAAGUAAUAGUGAAAAAUAACAGCAGAAGCAAUUAUUUCAUCAAAGGAUUGCAGGGAGAGGCUCCUCCGUGCUCCUGAGAGGCCGAACACAGGGUCGCCAGCACAGCUUACUGCUCGGUGUCUCCUGAGCCACAGAGGAAGACGUGGCAGGAGCACCUGGUGCUAAUAUAUAUUCAUGUCUAUGGCAAUGCCGACCAUCUGGCUGGUCUGAACCAGGAUAAAAGUGAAGAAUUCCUCUGUGAAGACCCAGCUCUUUCUUUGGCUCCUUUUUUGAAGCCAUCUUUGCUCUGCUCUCCUCUGCUGCCCAGGUAUGUGCAGUAUAAACAAGUUACACACAUAUCGCAUAAAUCCAUGCUUGUGAAAAAUCCAAAUAAUGCAUAAGCAUAUAAAAAUUAUUGUCUUCCUUUACUCUCCCAAUGGCCCUCAACCCGUCCUAUUUACUAAUCAUUAUUAAUAAUACAAAUACAUAAUUAGUAAAUUAGUAUUAUUUUGGUGUGUAUCAUUCUAGCCUUUUUCUAUGCAUUUAUAUACUUCUUUUAAAAAAUGGUAUUACACUAUGCACACUUUUUGGAAAGUUCCAGAGUGAAGCUCAGCUCUAGAUGAACAAAAACUGGUUGAGUCCAGAGAUGCCUGAGUUGGAGAUGAACCUUGCAAACUUUCCUCAUUACCAUACUAAAAACCCCACCCAGGAAGGAGCUUAUCUGCCAUUUCCUACACAUGUGACAUAUGGAGAAGCAUGAUCAGCUACUUCACAGUCUCUGCCUUUACUCUGCCUCCGCAUACAAUGGCUCAGCCAACUAGCCUAACGAAAGCUGUUUUCACCAUUGUUUGGGAGGUACUGCUUUGGGAAACUGCCCCAGCUGUCCUCCUUACUUGUUGUAGGUAAUAAAAUCCCUUUGUUAAAUCUUCCUUGGUUGUGGUCUUUGGACUGUCACCCACCAAGUGAUAAAACCCACCCAUUGUGUGGGUAACAAUAUUAUCUAAAAUUCAAUAUGUAAAUGCUGGAGAAAGGAAGUAUCAG
RNAcentral lists this long non-coding RNA (1419 nucleotides) under Homo sapiens (human). RNAcentral's name for it is "HSALNT0233505". The record is from RNAcentral. Lineage: Eukaryota; Metazoa; Chordata; Mammalia; Primates; Hominidae.